Stegostoma tigrinum is the source of this 387-nucleotide non-coding RNA. The record is from the annotation of a RefSeq genome assembly. NCBI's taxonomy places the organism in Eukaryota, Metazoa, Chordata, Chondrichthyes, Orectolobiformes, Stegostomatidae.
AUGCAGUUCUCAAACUUUAUGGUAAUCUCAUUGACUUUCAUUGUCGAUCUAAGUAAUGGAGUUUCUGUUACUCAGCGGCAGCCCGCACUCACACAAACAGAGGGAGAAGAAGUCACUUUCGCCUGCACAUACACUGGGAAUGUUUAUUACUUGUUUUGGUACCGCCAGUACCCUGGCAGACAGCCCGAGCUCGCAGUCCGGAAGUCAGAGAGCAGUGGUGCUGAGUUCAAGGCGGACUUUGCCCAGAAGCGGUUUUCUGACACAAUCCAGCAGUCAGACAAAUCAUACCAAUUGACGAUCUCGGGGCUGCUGUUGUCUGACACCGCUGUUUAUUACUGCGCAGCGAGCCUCACAGCGAUGGGAACGAGCUUAAGGCUCGUACAAUAA